This 292-nucleotide ribosomal RNA is filed under the name uncultured bacterium. Its description in RNAcentral is "partial 16S ribosomal RNA". It matches the Rfam family "Bacterial small subunit ribosomal RNA", at positions 505 to 796 of the family's 1533-position model. The record is from RNAcentral.
GUGUCAGCAGCCGCGGUAAUACAGAGGUCCCAAGCGUUGUUCGGAUUCACUGGGCGUAAAGGGUGCGUAGGUGGUGGGGAAAGUCUGAUGUGAAAGCUCCAAGCUCAACUUGGAAAUGGCAUUGGAAACUACUCUGCUCGAGGGUUGGAGGGGGGACUGGAAUACUUGGUGUAGCAGUGAAAUGCGUAGAUAUCAAGUGGAACACCAGUGGCGAAGGCGAGUCCCUGGACAACUCCUGACACUGAGGCACGAAAGCUAGGGGAGCAAACAGGAUUAGAUACCCUGGUAGUCC